This 301-nucleotide ribosomal RNA is filed under the name uncultured bacterium. RNAcentral describes it as "partial 16S ribosomal RNA". It matches the Rfam family "Archaeal small subunit ribosomal RNA", at positions 459 to 760 of the family's 1478-position model. The record is from RNAcentral.
CAGUAGCCACGGGAACACCAGCACCUCGAGUGGUCAGGAGGUUUAUUGGGCCUAAAGCAUCCGUAGCCGGUUGCAUAAGUUUUCGGUUAAAUCUAUGCGCUUAACGUAUAGGCCGCCGAAAAUACUGUGCUGCUAGGGAGUGGGAGAGGUACACGGUACUCGAUAGGAAGGGGUAAAAUCCUUUGAUCUAUUGAUGACCACCUGUGGCGAAGGCGGUGUACCAGAACACGUUCGACGGUGAGGGAUGAAAGCUGGGGGAGCAAACCGGAUUAGAUACCCGUGUAGUCCCUGUCUCUUAUAC